CGGACAAGGCACUGGAGAAUCACCGGCGGCGACAGCUGGAGGGAGAGUGCAACAGCAACCUUCGCAAUUGUCAGAUCAGGGUCAACCUGCAUCAAGGCCGCGUCCUUGGCAACAGCAAAGUGAACAAAAACAGCAUAACCAGCAAAAUCAAUUUGGAAAAUCAA
RNAcentral lists this non-coding RNA (164 nucleotides) under Conticribra weissflogii. The record is from RNAcentral. Lineage: Eukaryota; Bacillariophyta; Thalassiosirophyceae; Thalassiosirales; Thalassiosiraceae.